GAGUUUGAUCGUGGCUCAGGACGAACGCUGGCGGCGUGCUUAACACAUGCAAGUCGAACGGUGAUGACGGGGCUUGCUCUGUCUGAUCAGUGGCGAACGGGUGAGUAACACGUGAGUAACCUGCCCCCGACUCUGGAAUAACCGUGGGAAACGACGGCUAAUACCGGAUAUGAGACGCAUGGGCAUCUGUGUGUCUAGGAAAGAUUUA
This 208-nucleotide ribosomal RNA is filed under the name uncultured bacterium. Its description in RNAcentral is "partial 16S ribosomal RNA". It matches the Rfam family "Bacterial small subunit ribosomal RNA", at positions 9 to 213 of the family's 1533-position model. The record is from RNAcentral.